UCUCAGUUCGGAUUGUAGUCUGCAACUCGACUACAUGAAGCUGGAAUCGCUAGUAAUCGCAGGUCAGCAUACUGCGGUGAAUACGUUCCCGGGUCUUGUACACACCGCCCGUCACACCAUGGGAGCCGGAAAUGCCCGAAGCCAGUGACCCAACCUUAGGGAGGGAGCUGUCGAAGGUGGAGCCGGUAACUGGGGUGAAGUCGUAACAAGGUAAC
RNAcentral lists this ribosomal RNA (215 nucleotides) under uncultured bacterium. RNAcentral's name for it is "partial 16S ribosomal RNA". It matches the Rfam family "Bacterial small subunit ribosomal RNA", at positions 1286 to 1500 of the family's 1533-position model. The record is from RNAcentral.